This is a non-coding RNA of Triticum aestivum (bread wheat), 126 nucleotides long. NCBI's taxonomy places the organism in Eukaryota, Viridiplantae, Streptophyta, Magnoliopsida, Poales, Poaceae. The record is from Rfam.
CAUGUACUCCCUCCGUCCUAAAAUACUUGUCGGAGAAAUGGAUAAAAUUGAAUGUAUCUAUAACUAAAAUACGUCUAGAUUCAUCCAUUUUUCCUGACAAGUAUUUCCGGACGGAGGGAGUAUAAC